GUUUUUCUCAUUUCUCCCCUUUUUUCAGCAAACCAUAGAUCUGAAUUGAAGAGGUUAAAGUGACGGCGCCGCUGCUGUCCGCCUUGACUGAAGUUCGAAUUCGUCUUGGCCCUCUUUUUGUUGUACUAAAAAUCUCUUCUUUUCACUUUUAGGGUUAGUUUUCAUCUGAAAAAACCAGUUCAAAUGGCUCCUAAAGCAACUAAGGCUGAGAAGAAGAUUGCUUAUGACACCAAAAUGUGUCAACUUCUGGAUGAUUUUACUCAGGUGCUUGUGGCUGCUGCUGAUAAUGUUGGAUCUAAUCAGCUACAGAGUAUUAGAAAGGGUUUGAGAGGUGAUUCUGUUGUUCUUAUGGGGAAGAAUACUAUGAUGAAGAGAACUAUUAGGGUUCAUGCUGAGAAAACUGGCAAUGAGACCAUCCUGAAUCUCAUCCCUCUCCUUGUUGGUAAUGUGGGGUUAAUCUUCACCAAGGGUGACCUCAAGGAAGUGAGUGAGGAAGUCGCUAAGUACAAGGUUGGAGCACCUGCUCGUGUUGGUUUGGUG
RNAcentral lists this unclassified non-coding RNA (540 nucleotides) under Hevea brasiliensis (rubber tree). Lineage: Eukaryota; Viridiplantae; Streptophyta; Magnoliopsida; Malpighiales; Euphorbiaceae. The record is from RNAcentral.